UACGGAGGGGGCGAGCGUUGUCCGAAGUUACUGGGCGUAAAGCGCGCGUAGGCGGGAGGCCAAGUCCGCUGUGAAAGCCCGGGGCUCAACCCCGGCGGGUCGGUGGAGACUGGUCUUCUUGAAGAUGCUAGGGGGAGGUGGAAUUAUCGGUGUAGCGGUGAAAUGCGUAGAGAUCGAUAGGAACACCAGUGGCGAAGGCGGCCUCCUGGGGCACUCUUGACGCUGAGGCGCGAAAGCUGGGGGAGCGAACGGGAUUAGAUACCCCGGUAGUCCCAGCCCUAAACGAUGGAUACUAGGUGUGGGAGGUAUCGACCCCUCCCGUGCCGCCGCUAACGCAGUAAGUAUCCCGCCUGGGGAGUACGGCCGCAAGGUUGAA
RNAcentral lists this ribosomal RNA (376 nucleotides) under uncultured bacterium. Its description in RNAcentral is "bacterial SSU rRNA". It matches the Rfam family "Bacterial small subunit ribosomal RNA", at positions 524 to 898 of the family's 1533-position model. The record is from RNAcentral.